This is a non-coding RNA of Vicia faba (fava bean), 189 nucleotides long. NCBI's taxonomy places the organism in Eukaryota, Viridiplantae, Streptophyta, Magnoliopsida, Fabales, Fabaceae. The record is from the annotation of a GenBank genome assembly.
AUGCAAAAAAGAGUAAGAAGAAACAAAGAUUGGAAGAACCGAAGAACUUACCUGCAUCUUCAUACUCGCCGGGCCUCAGAGUCUCUUUCUCCACCGUGGAGAUUUCUAGGGAUAUUAAACAUUAUGAAAUUUAUGCAGUGCGAUUUAGAAUAUGGGAAUUUGAGGAGUAGAUUUGAGAGGAGAAGAUGA